GAUGAACGCUGGCGGCGUGCUUAACACAUGCAAGUCGAACGGAAAGGCCCAGCUUGCUGGAUUCUCGAGCGGCGGACGGAUGAGUAAGACGUGGGUUAUCUGCACGCAACAUCGGGGUAAGCCUGGGAAACAGAGAGUAACACCGCACAUGAUGAACUGUGGCAUGGUGAAUGGUGGAAGGCUUUUGCGGUUGCGGAUGGGCCCGAGGCCUAUCAGCUUGUUGGUGGAGUAAUGGCCGACCAAGGCGACGACGGGUAGCCGACCUGGGAGUGUGGACGGCCACACGAGGACUGAGACACGGACCAGUGUCCAACUGUAGGCAGCAGUGGGGAAUAUUGCCCAAUGGGCGCGCGCCUGAUACGGCGACGCCGGGUGUGGGAUGCCGGCCUGCGGGUUGUAAACCUCUUUGACCUGAGACCAAGCGUGAGUGACGGUACCUGAAGAAGAAGCACCGGCCAACUACGUG
RNAcentral lists this ribosomal RNA (466 nucleotides) under uncultured bacterium. Its description in RNAcentral is "partial 16S ribosomal RNA". It matches the Rfam family "Bacterial small subunit ribosomal RNA", at positions 28 to 507 of the family's 1533-position model. The record is from RNAcentral.